Molecule: ribosomal RNA, 2904 nt
Filed under: Cronobacter sakazakii
Lineage: Bacteria; Pseudomonadati; Pseudomonadota; Gammaproteobacteria; Enterobacterales; Enterobacteriaceae
Description: 23S ribosomal RNA
Rfam family: Bacterial large subunit ribosomal RNA
Source: RNAcentral
GGUUAAGCGAACAAGCGUACACGGUGGAUGCCCUGGCAGUCAGAGGCGAUGAAGGACGUGCUAAUCUGCGAAAAGCGCCGGUAAGGUGAUAUGAACCGUUAUAACCGGCGAUGUCCGAAUGGGGAAACCCGGUGCACUUCGGUGCAUCAUCGUUAGCUGAAUACAUAGGCUAACGAGGCGAACCGGGGGAACUGAAACAUCUAAGUACCCCGAGGAAAAGAAAUCAACCGAGAUUCCCCCAGUAGCGGCGAGCGAACGGGGAACAGCCCAGAGCCUGAAUCAGCUUGUGUGUCAGUGGAACGGUCUGGAAAGGCCGGCGAUACAGGGUGACAGCCCCGUACACGAAGGCACACAGGCUGUGAGCUCGAUGAGUAGGGCGGGACACGUGAUAUCCUGUCUGAAGAUGGGGGGACCAUCCUCCAAGGCUAAAUACUCCUGACUGACCGAUAGUGAACCAGUACCGUGAGGGAAAGGCGAAAAGAACCCCGGCGAGGGGAGUGAAACAGAACCUGAAACCGUGUACGUACAAGCAGUGGGAGCCUUCGUAAGAGGGUGACUGCGUACCUUUUGUAUAAUGGGUCAGCGACUUAUAUUCUGUAGCAAGGUUAACCGUAUAGGGGAGCCGAAGGGAAACCGAGUCUUAAUUGGGCGUUAAGUUGCAGGGUAUAGACCCGAAACCCGGUGAUCUAGCCAUGGGCAGGUUGAAGGUUGGGUAACACUAACUGGAGGACCGAACCGACUAAUGUUGAAAAAUUAGCGGAUGACCUGUGGCUGGGGGUGAAAGGCCAAUCAAACCGGGAGAUAGCUGGUUCUCCCCGAAAGCUAUUUAGGUAGCGCCUCGUGAACUCAUCUCCGGGGGUAGAGCACUGUUUCGGCUAGGGGGCCAUCCCGGCUUACCAACCCGAUGCAAACUGCGAAUACCGGAGAAUGUUAUCACGGGAGACACACGGGCGGGUGCUAACGUCCGUCGUGAAGAGGGAAACAACCCAGACCGCCAGCUAAGGUCCCAAAGUCAUGGUUAAGUGGGAAACGAUGUGGGAAGGCCCAGACAGCCAGGAUGUUGGCUUAGAAGCAGCCAUCAUUUAAAGAAAGCGUAAUAGCUCACUGGUCGAGUCGGCCUGCGCGGAAGAUGUAACGGGGCUAAACCAUGCACCGAAGCUGCGGCAGCGACACGUAUGUGUUGUUGGGUAGGGGAGCGUUCUGUAAGCCUGUGAAGGUGUGCUGUGAGGCAUGCUGGAGGUAUCAGAAGUGCGAAUGCUGACAUAAGUAACGAUAAAGCGGGUGAAAAGCCCGCUCGCCGGAAGACCAAGGGUUCCUGUCCAACGUUAAUCGGGGCAGGGUGAGUCGACCCCUAAGGCGAGGCCGAAAGGCGUAGUCGAUGGGAAACAGGUUAAUAUUCCUGUACUUGGUGUUACUGCGAAGGGGGGACGGAGAAGGCUAUGUCAGCCGGGCGACGGUCGUCCCGGUUUAAGCGUGUAGGCUGACUUUCCAGGCAAAUCCGGAAGGUUAAGGCUGAGGCGUGAUGACGAGGCACCACGGUGCUGAAGUGACAAAUGCCCUGCUUCCAGGAAAAGCCUCUAAGCAUCAGGUAACAUCAAAUCGUACCCCAAACCGACACAGGUGGUCAGGUAGAGAAUACCAAGGCGCUUGAGAGAACUCGGGUGAAGGAACUAGGCAAAAUGGUGCCGUAACUUCGGGAGAAGGCACGCUGACAUGUAGGUGAAGCCCCUGCGGGUGGAGCUGAAGUCAGUCGAAGAUACCAGCUGGCUGCAACUGUUUAUUAAAAACACAGCACUGUGCAAACACGAAAGUGGACGUAUACGGUGUGACGCCUGCCCGGUGCCGGAAGGUUAAUUGAUGGGGUUAUCGCAAGAGAAGCUCCUGAUCGAAGCCCCGGUAAACGGCGGCCGUAACUAUAACGGUCCUAAGGUAGCGAAAUUCCUUGUCGGGUAAGUUCCGACCUGCACGAAUGGCGUAAUGAUGGCCAGGCUGUCUCCACCCGAGACUCAGUGAAAUUGAACUCGCUGUGAAGAUGCAGUGUACCCGCGGCAAGACGGAAAGACCCCGUGAACCUUUACUACAGCUUGACACUGAACAUUGAGCCUUGAUGUGUAGGAUAGGUGGGAGGCUUUGAAGCGUGGACGCCAGUCUGCGUGGAGCCAACCUUGAAAUACCACCCUUUAAUGUUUGAUGUUCUAACCUGGCGCCGUGAUCCGGCGUGGGGACAGUGUCUGGUGGGUAGUUUGACUGGGGCGGUCUCCUCCCAAAGUGUAACGGAGGAGCACGAAGGUCAGCUAAUCCUGGUCGGACAUCAGGAGGUUAGUGCAAUGGCAUAAGCUGGCUUGACUGCGAGAGUGACGGCUCGAGCAGGUGCGAAAGCAGGUCAUAGUGAUCCGGUGGUUCUGUAUGGAAGGGCCAUCGCUCAACGGAUAAAAGGUACUCCGGGGAUAACAGGCUGAUACCGCCCAAGAGUUCAUAUCGACGGCGGUGUUUGGCACCUCGAUGUCGGCUCAUCACAUCCUGGGGCUGAAGUAGGUCCCAAGGGUAUGGCUGUUCGCCAUUUAAAGUGGUACGCGAGCUGGGUUUAGAACGUCGUGAGACAGUUCGGUCCCUAUCUGCCGUGGGCGCUGGAGAAUUGAGGGGGGCUGCUCCCAGUACGAGAGGACCGGAGUGGACGCAUCACUGGUGUUCGGGUUGUCAUGCCAAUGGCACUGCCCGGUAGCUAAAUGCGGAAGAGAUAAGUGCUGAAAGCAUCUAAGCACGAAACUUGCCCCGAGAUGAGUUCUCCCUGAGACUUUAAGUCUCCUGAAGGAACGUUGAAGACGACGACGUUGAUAGGCCGGGUGUGUAAGCGCAGCGAUGCGUUGAGCUAACCGGUACUAAUGAACCGUGAGGCUUAACCUU